Molecule: non-coding RNA, 186 nt
Filed under: unclassified sequences
Description: manA RNA
Rfam family: manA RNA
About the family: manA RNA has been located in 5'UTR regions of genes of mannose or fructose metabolism. Has been proposed as a cis-regulatory element and as a riboswitch candidate for his complex secondary structure.
Source: RNAcentral
UUACUCGACGACGGUUGAGUAAAGGGAAUGACUGAAUAAUCCUCUGACAUUGGGGAUAAGGUGCUGCUGCGUUGCUAUAUGCGAAGACCAAACGCUAGGGGGUAACGUGGUAGACUAAGGGCUACACUGAACUGUACCGUGUCACUGUCCUUAUGUGAGUAAUGCAGAAAUCUCACUUCCCACUAA